Molecule: non-coding RNA, 1506 nt
Organism: Styela clava
Lineage: Eukaryota; Metazoa; Chordata; Ascidiacea; Stolidobranchia; Styelidae
Source: RefSeq, a predicted model, not a curated record
UUUAAAGAAUCUUCUUAUUCACAUUAAAAAGAAAUGAUAUAUUAAUGUUCGAUUCUUAUUCCAUUGCAAAUUUUUUUCAUCAAAUUUUUAACACGAUCGGGGUUCUGCGAACGCGUAUUAAGUAUUAAAAAAAUGAAUCAUUUCAAUACAAAGAGUUUAGAAACGGUCUAUUUCUGUCAAUAACCUAACAGUAACUUAAUAAAUACUGGCUAUGUGAUUUUCAGAUUUUUUUCAGUAUUUGUUGGGUCUUUGUCCCGUUUUUCAGCCAUUAAUUUUAAGUCAUAUCUCAGAUAAAAAUUAGUAAAUGAAGGUCCGUACAUAAUCUCAUUGGUAAGAAAUAGGUUGGAAUAAAUGAAAGUUAUCCUCUAUGGACCUUUCCCCGACCUUUGACCUUUAUUGUUUUUGGUCGCUCAGACAAACAUUGCAAAUAUUCAGACUUGUGUAGGGCGAUAGACUGGUACGGUGCGUUGCUCGUUUUGAAGGCCUUCAGAUGGCAUUUCACUAGUGAUGGCGGUAUUUUCGUGCUUCUAAAGUUAUACCAUAUUGUCAAGUGAUCUAUUAUUAACGUUAUUCCGCCUUCACAUUGCCGUUACCGUACCUGACUUAGUUCCAAAAGCGGCGAAAAGCCUACCGGUAUGUAGUUUAACCUCGAAUCGGAGUUUAACUUUGGAUCGGCGGUUUAAGUCCGGAUCAAAAAGAUAUUUGAAUCUACCUGUGCCCAAAAGUUUCCUUUUAGUUAUAUUUUGUGUAUGAGCAGAACUGAGAUUUACCUACGAUCGGCUAAUUCACAAGUCUGCAAGGUCCCGAAGUUGGAUCAAAAAAAUAGACAAGGAGCGAAUAGAUAGCAGAAGCUGUUUCAAGUCAAGUAAACUGUCUGAGUGCCAUGAUGAUGAUCAAUUUUAUCAGCUCUAUUGGAGGAGCAAAUUUGUCAUGAAGACAAACAACUGUUAUGGAUAGGAUUAUAGUAAAAGUGUUGUCAAGUCAAGGUUGCAGCAGUGCUUUAUUCUACGCCUUCGUGUCCAACAAAUAUGUGGAACCCGGUUAACUUAAGCCUAACAAAUAAUUCUUGCAUGCUAAAACAUUUGAAGCAAACGUAGUUAUGUCGAUUUUUCGUCACUUGGCGAGUCUCAAAGCUGUAGAGCCAGAAUAAAAUUUAGCACCUCUUCCGAAUUGAUUUUUUCAAUUUCUUGAAUGUUAGUACAUUUUAGCAGUCAUUUGAACAAAUGAAUAUUGGUUAUUUUCGCAAUACAAAUUUUCAAAAUAAUAAAAUGUUAAAUAUGUAGAAGCCUGUGGCCCGGAACUUGCCAGGGAUAGGUUUUCAGCUGAAGUGUGUUCAUUUCAUCUGUUUCCACUCUAAGUAGGAUGAGGGUUCUAUAAUUUAAGUCUUGUUUGUUGUUAUGCUGAGGUUUUAGGAGAAAAAUAUUAGAUUCAAUUGGUGUUGUAGACCAGGGUCGUCCAACUCGUGGCCCUUCGAUGGGUUCGCAGGUUCGAAUCCCAUGCAGGGAU